AAGAUUUAUCGGAGAAGGAUUAGCCCGCGUUGGAUUAGGUAGUUGGUGGGGUAAUGGCCUACCAAGCCUACGAUCCAUAGCUGGUUUGAGAGGAUGAUCAGCCACACUGGGACUGAGACACGGCCCAGACUCCUACGGGAGGCAGCAGUGGGGAAUCUUAGACAAUGGGGGAAACCCUGAUCUAGCCAUGCCGCGUGAGUGAUGAAGGCCUUAGGGUUGUAAAGCUCUUUCAGCUGGGAAGAUAAUGACGGUACCAGCAGAAGAAGCCCCGGCUAACUCCGUGCCAGCAGCCGCGGUAAUACGGAGGGGGCUAGCGUUGUUCGGAAUUACUGGGCGUAAAGCGCACGUAGGCGGACUGGAAAGUUGGGGGUGAAAUCCCGGGGCUCAACCUCGGAACUGCCUCCAAAACUAUCAGUCUGGAGUUCGAGAGAGGUGAGUGGAAUACCGAGUGUAGAGGUGAAAUUCGUAGAUAUUCGGUGGAACACCAGUGGCGAAGGCGGCUCACUGGCUCGAUACUGACGCUGAGGUGCGA
RNAcentral lists this ribosomal RNA (532 nucleotides) under Paracoccus seriniphilus. Its description in RNAcentral is "bacterial SSU rRNA". It matches the Rfam family "Bacterial small subunit ribosomal RNA", at positions 202 to 756 of the family's 1533-position model. The record is from RNAcentral. Lineage: Bacteria; Pseudomonadati; Pseudomonadota; Alphaproteobacteria; Rhodobacterales; Paracoccaceae.